ACCGGCGCACGGGUGCGUAACGCGUAUGCACCUACCUAUUGCAGGGGAAUAGCCCAGGGAAACUUGGAUUAAUGCCCCAUAGCAUAGCAUUUGUAAAGAUUUAUCGGCAAUAGAUGGGCAUGCGUCCCAUUAGCUAGUUGGUAUGGUAACGGCAUACCAAGGCUACGAUGGGUAGGGGCCCUGAGAGGGGGAUCCCCCACACUGGUACUGAGACACGGACCAGACUCCUACGGGAGGCAGCAGUGAGGAAUAUUGGACAAUGGGCGGGAGCCUGAUCCAGCCAUGCCGCGUGCAGGAAGACUGCCUAUGGGUUGUAAACUGCUUUUUUACGGGAAGAAACACCCCCACGUGUGGGGGCUUGACGGUACCGUACGAAUAAGGACCGGCUAACUCCGUGCCAGCAGCCGCGGUAAUACGGAGGGUCCGAGCGUUAUCCGGAAUCAUUGGGUUUAAAGGGUCCGUAGGCGGGCGUCUAAGUCAGUGGUGAAAUUCUGCAGCUCAACUGUAGGACUGCCAUUGAUACUGGUCGCCUUGAAUUAGUGUGAAGUGGCUAGAAUAUGUAGUGUAGCGGUGAAUGCUUAGAUAUUACAUAGAUACCGAUUGCGAAGGCAGGUCACUAACACUAUAUGACGCUGAUGACGAAGCCGUGAGAAGCGACCAGGUUUAGAUACCCUGGUAGUUCACGGCCG
Molecule: ribosomal RNA, 689 nt
Filed under: uncultured bacterium
Lineage: Bacteria
Description: bacterial SSU rRNA
Rfam family: Bacterial small subunit ribosomal RNA
Source: RNAcentral